RNAcentral lists this ribosomal RNA (498 nucleotides) under uncultured bacterium. RNAcentral describes it as "partial 16S ribosomal RNA". It matches the Rfam family "Bacterial small subunit ribosomal RNA", at positions 29 to 507 of the family's 1533-position model. The record is from RNAcentral.
GCGAACGCUGGCGGCGUGCCUAAUACAUGCAAGUCGAGCGAAGUUUUUCUGGUGCUUGCACUAGAAAAACUUAGCGGCGAAAGGGUGAGUAACACGUAAAGAACCUGCCUCAUAGACUGGGACAACUAUUGGAAACGAUAGCUAAUACCGGAUAACAGCAUUAACUGCAUGGUUGAUGUUUAAAAGUUGGUUUUGCUAACACUAUGAGAUGGCUUUGCGGUGCAUUAGCUAGUUGGUGGGGUAAAGGCCUACCAAGGCGACGAUGCAUAGCCGACCUGAGAGGGUGAUCGGCCACACUGGGACUGAGACACGGCCCAGACUCCUACGGGAGGCAGCAGUAGGGAAUCUUCCGCAAAGGGCGAAAGCCUGACGGAGCAACGCCGCGUGAGUGAAGAAGGAUUUCGGUUCGUAAAGCUCUGUUGUUAGGGAAGAAUGAUUGUGUAGUAACUAUACACAGUAGAGACGGUACCUAACCAGAAAGCCACGGCUAACUACGUG